UUCCCUCUUCAGGGCAAGGCAACCUUUCCUCCCAGCCAGUCCUCCUCAUUGGGUCCCCCCCCUCCACCGUGGGAUGGCGUGGGAGACGCUGGUGUUUAUGGACGCCCAGAGACUGUCGUGGUUUGAUCUGCUCCUGGGGAGACCCUGGAGGGAACCCCCUCUGCUCAUGCUGGGGCAGAAGCUGUUAGUGCGGCGCUCGUGACCAUCAAUUUAGGCAUCACGUGGUGGAUCGCCUAGCUGGUCUAUAUGGGGCUGGGCGGGAGGGCGUCCCUGGUGGCCCUGGUGGUGGCAAUUUGGGCCAUCAUCGUGAUCUGUGGCUGGUUGCCCCAGGAUACCCCGCCUGCCCCGUACCCCUUGCGGCCCCAUGACCCCCACCAGCUCAGCCGGCUACGGCACGUCACCCUUCCGCCUCUACAGACCAUAGCCUCGAGCGUCUCCUGGAGGGACCCCGUCUUGAGAGGUAAGGAAGGGCAUGAUGCCUCCACCUCCCACAAAGCAAUGCCCCCCUCCAGCCUCUUGGCCCCUGAGAGAGGCCAGAAGUGCUGGUCUCCUGCGGGGAUCUCCUUGGCCUCAGCCUGGGCUCCCUGGGGGCCUUACGGUGCCCCUUCCUCCUGAAUUCCUGCCCCCCACAUUUCUCCAGGGGGAGGGCAGAGCCAGGGUUGAACCUGGAGAAGGAGCACCAAGGGUGUGUGUGGGGGGAGGAUGUGCUGACUGGGAGCGGCCCUUCUUUCUGACCGGUGCCCCCUAUCCUCCGAACCCCCACUAGCCUGCCAUCGGGUGGGGGUUAUAGGGCUCCUGCCUGAUUUGACCUGAUUUUUUUUUGGGGGGGCUCCUGAUCAUUGCCUUUGCUUCCCUCUGCAGGACAAGGCAACCUUUCGUCCCGGCCAGUCCUCCUCGUCAGAUUCCCCUCCCUCCGUCUCUCUCCUGCCCAUCGAAGACCGGCUGCAUCUUUUACCCGUCUCACCUGCCCCCUUUUCUCCAUCCCCUCUACGUCUUCUCCCCAUGUCUCCUGCCCCUUUCUCUUCUGCCCCCAUGCAAACUCUCCCUAUAUCUCCUGCCUUUCCAAAUCCUUUCCCCAUGUCUCCUACUCCCUUUCCUCCUGGCCCUACAAGUCCUCGCCGGGUGUCUUCCACGCUAAUCCGUCCUGACCGUCCUGCCUCCCUGCCCCGAAGGCGGAAGCACGAGGAAGACAAGACCCCCUCCUUCCAUCGCCCCCAGAAGAUCCAGCCCAGGUGAGGGCGGUUGCUCAGUCUGAGGGAGGCCUGCGGCCGGGGUGGAGGGGCAGCUGACCAGGGACACCCUCCAGCAUCUCUUCCUGUCACUUGGUUGGCCGCUCUCCGUGGAGGGAGAGGGCGGCCGUGUCCUGUCAAGAUCAGCCCCCCUUGGCCAGGGUGUCAAUGGUCUGGGCGAUGGGCAUCGUAGUCCAGGUGCCAGUGCCCCUGCAGAGGUCCCAUGGCCAGACAACAGCUCUUCCCCUGCUAGAGGAGCAAAUCCUGCCAGAAGCAUCUCAGGAUUGAUCUCCUACCACCCACCCACCUCUCUCUUUCUGCAGGGACAGCGCAUCUCGCAAGAGGAAAGCCACGGGGCAACCAGUGGCUCCAUCAUCCUUCCCCUU
Pogona vitticeps (central bearded dragon) is the source of this 1615-nucleotide long non-coding RNA. Lineage: Eukaryota; Metazoa; Chordata; Lepidosauria; Squamata; Agamidae. The record is from Ensembl.